GAUGAACGCUAGCGGCAGGCCUAACACAUGCAAGUCGAGGGGUAACAGAGAAGCUUGCUUCUGCUGACGACCGGCGCACGGGUGCGUAACGCGUAUAGAAUCUACCUUAUACUGAGGGAUAGCCUUUGGAAACGAAGAUUAACACCUCAUAGUAUGUUUACUUCGCAUGGAGUUUACAUUAAAGGUUACGGUAUAAGAUGACUAUGCGUUCUAUUAGCUAGAUGGUGUGGUAACGGCACACCAUGGCAACGAUAGAUAGGGGCCCUGAGAGGGGGAUCCCCCACACUGGUACUGAGACACGGACCAGACUCCUACGGGAGGCAGCAGUGAGGAAUAUUGGACAAUGGGCGCAAGCCUGAUCCAGCCAUGCCGCGUGCAGGAAGACUGCCCUAUGGGUUGUAAACUGCUUUUAUACGGGAAGAAACAUCACUACGUGUAGUGACUUGACGGUACCGUAAGAAUAAGGAUCGGCUAACUCCGUGCCAGCAGCCGCGGUAAUACGGAGGAUCCAAGCGUUAUCCGGAAUCAUUGGGUUUAAAGGGUCCGUAGGUGGAUAAUUAAGUCAGAGGUGAAAUCUUGCAGCUCAACUGUAAAAUUGCCUUUGAUACUGGUUAUCUUGAAUUAUUGUGAAGUGGUUAGAAUAUGUAGUGUAGCGGUGAAAUGCAUAGAUAUUACAUAGAAUACCAAUUGCGAAGGCAGAUCACUAACAAUAUAU
RNAcentral lists this ribosomal RNA (715 nucleotides) under Yeosuana sp. RNAcentral's name for it is "bacterial SSU rRNA". It matches the Rfam family "Bacterial small subunit ribosomal RNA", at positions 28 to 740 of the family's 1533-position model. Lineage: Bacteria; Pseudomonadati; Bacteroidota; Flavobacteriia; Flavobacteriales; Flavobacteriaceae. The record is from RNAcentral.